GACGAACGCUGGCGGCGUGCUUAACACAUGCAAGUCGAACGAAAAGAGGGAAAGAGCUUGCUCUUUCCGGAAUUGAGUGGCAAACGGGUGAGUAACACGUAAACAACCUGCCUUCAGGAUGGGGACAACAGACGGAGACGACUGCUAAUACCGAAUAAGUUCCAAGGGCCGCAUGGCCCAUGGAAGAAAAGGUGGCCUCUACCUGUAAGCUAUCGCCUGAAGAGGGGUUUGCGUCUGAUUAGCUGGUUGGAGGGGUAACGGCCCACCAAGGCGACGAUCAGUAGCCGGUCUGAGAGGAUGAACGGCCACACUGGAAUUGAGACACGGUCCAGACUCCUACGGGAGGCAGCAGUGGGGAAUCUUCCGCAAUGGGCGAAAGCCUGACGGAGCAACGCCGCGUGAGUGAUGACGGCCUUCGGGUUGUAAAACUCUGUGAUCCGGGACGAAAAGGCAGAGUGCGAAGAACAAACUGCAUUGACGGUACCGGAAAAGCAAGCCACGGCUAACUACGUG
This 513-nucleotide ribosomal RNA is filed under the name uncultured bacterium. RNAcentral's name for it is "partial 16S ribosomal RNA". It matches the Rfam family "Bacterial small subunit ribosomal RNA", at positions 28 to 507 of the family's 1533-position model. The record is from RNAcentral.